Molecule: long non-coding RNA, 527 nt
Filed under: Homo sapiens (human)
Lineage: Eukaryota; Metazoa; Chordata; Mammalia; Primates; Hominidae
Description: HSALNT0205015
Source: RNAcentral
UGAGAUGAAAAUGAGUCCCUUACACAGAUGACAGAAAGGAGAAACCAGCCAGAUUUCAUUGAAUUCCUCAUGCCAGUGAAGGAGGAGGUUGACAUUCUCGCAGAUCAUCACUGAGUUUCCCAGGUAGAUACCUACUUAUACCAACAUCAUUUGUUGAAGAGACUAUUCUAUUUCCAUUGUAAGUUAUUAGUGCCCUUGUCAAAGAUUAGUUAACCAUAUAUACAUGAGUUUAUUUCUGGGCUUUUUAUUCUGUUUCAUUGGUCUAUAUGUCUGUUUUCAUGCCAGACUGUACUGUUUUGGUUACUAUAGCUUUGUAAUGUAAUUAGAAAUCAAGAAGUAUAAUUCCUCCAGCUUUGUUAUUUUUUAACAGAUGGCUUUAGGUAUUUGAGAUAUUUUGUGGAUCCAUAUAAAUUUCAUGGUUUUAAAAAAUUUCUAAUGAAAAAUGCCUUUGAAAUUUUAAUAGGGGUUGCAUUGGAUCUGUAGUUUGCUUUGUGUAGUACGGACAUUUUACCAAUAUUGACUCUUCC